Homo sapiens (human) is the source of this 375-nucleotide long non-coding RNA. Lineage: Eukaryota; Metazoa; Chordata; Mammalia; Primates; Hominidae. The record is from Ensembl.
CCUCCUUUUCUUUGUCAUGCAUGCAUAUUAAUUGAGGAUGGAGAAUAUCUACGCUUGUUCAGGCCAGCCAACAUACGACAGUUUACUUCAAGACAGGAGACAUGGGUUGAAUGCUGAAAACAUGCACAGCCAAGCCCAGAUGCCAGUCUUGUUAGCUGCCUUCCUUUACCUUCAAGAGUGGGCUGAAGCUUGUCCAAUCUUUCAAGGUUGCUGAAGACUGUAUGAUGGAAGUCAUCUGCAUUGGGAAAGAAAUUAAUGGAGAGAGGAGAAAACUUGAGAAUCCACACUACUCACCCUGCAGGGCCAAGAACUCUGUCUCCCAUGCAUUGCUGACCCAUCUCAGUAUUUCCUGUGACCACCUCCUUUUUCAACUGA